GACCUCUGUAUUCAACAUUCCUAUCAGUUUUGUAGGUAACUGUACUAUUGCAUAAUAUGGCCAUACUUAAGUCAUUUUCCUUGAGAACAGAAAAGUAAAGGAGAAACCAAUGAUUUUUCCCCCACUUCAGAUCUCACCUGCCAGCACUGAUGUAAGACUACACCUCCCUAUUUCAAGGCACAUUAUUACCAUUAGUCUGGAUAAAUUUGCAAAGGAAAAUGAGAGUUACUGGUGUGAUUACCCAAGGAGCCAAGAGGAUUGGAAGCCCAGAGUAUAUAAAAUCCUACAAAAUUGCCUACAGUAAUGAUGGAAAGACUUGGGCAAUGUACAAAGUGAAAGGCACCAAUGAAGACAUGGUGUUUCGUGGAAACAUUGAUAACAACACUCCAUAUGCUAACUCUUUCACACCCCCCAUAAAAGCUCAGUAUGUAAGACUCUAUCCCCAAGUUUGUCGAAGACAUUGCACUUUGCGAAUGGAACUUCUUGGCUGUGAACUGUCGGGUUGUUCUGAGCCUCUGGGUAUGAAAUCAGGACAUAUACAAGACUAUCAGAUCACUGCCUCCAGCAUCUUCAGAACGCUCAACAUGGACAUGUUCACUUGGGAACCAAGGAAAGCUCGGCUGGACAAGCAAGGCAAAGUGAAUGCCUGGACUUCUGGCCACAAUGACCAGUCACAAUGGUUACAGGAGAACUAAAGGAAAGGUUUUCAAAAUUAAGUGACCACCAGGCCACUGGAAACAUUUGUCAAUAUGAAGGAUUAUUCUGAUUUCCAAUUCACAGUUCCAAUAUUUAUCAUUUAUGAAGGUUCACCUAAAAAGAAGAUCUAAAAGAGGUCAAGUAAUGAAACUUGUAUGUGAUUGUGAGACAGCUUCCAUUCUUCUAUAGUAUUGAUAUAUGUUGGAGUGUGCUAAGUCAAUCGAAGGAUGCUCACACUUUGCUAGGGCUGUAAGUCAUCUUUAUGUAUUUUUUCAUUUUUUAAACCACAUACUGUGAAUAAGAAAUCUUUUUGAUUUUUAUAAUUUUAUGAUGUCAAAGGGAAAUCCCCACUAUCCAAUUAGAAAAAAGAACUUUUAAUAAACAAAGCAAAAUUGAAAGGACAUUUGUACAGAAAAUACUUAAGUGCAAACAAAAGUGCAGCCAAUAUCAAUGUAGUAUAAGGAGUGCAUAAUAUGAGGUGCAAAAUAUAGAUGUGAGGGCUGACAAAUUAUAUCAAUACUCUGAGAUUUCAAUAUUCUUUCUUUUUUAUGUAAAAUGGAGAUAUUACAAAAAAAGAUCAGCCCCAGCCUAUCUUCUCCUUUUUAAAUCCCUUACACAAGUAAAAUUCUGGUGUCUAAAUGAUGACUGGACGAAUC
RNAcentral lists this small RNA (1352 nucleotides) under Pongo abelii (Sumatran orangutan). RNAcentral's name for it is "processed transcript". The record is from RNAcentral. Lineage: Eukaryota; Metazoa; Chordata; Mammalia; Primates; Hominidae.